CUGGUCACCAAUUUUCCAGCGAGCGACGUUCUUGCCGACGGCCUCGACGGUGCCAGAGCAUUCGAGGCCGGGGAAUUCGCUGGCGCCCUUGGGCGGCGGGUGAAGGCCCUUCCGCUGGAGCGUGUCGGCCCUGUUGAGCGCUGCCGCCGCAAUUCGGAUCAGAACGUCGUUGUCUCCCACCUCCGGGUCGUCCACCUCCAACAAUUGCAGGACCUCGGGACCGCCGAGGCAGGUGAUUACUAUGGCCUUCAUUGCAAUUUGCGGCGGUUCACAGAAUCACGGCGUCCAGAAGAUGAAAAUCGGUGAGGUUGGAGAAGUCGAACACGUCUGUGACACACUCACUCCUGCAAUUAUUU
Molecule: long non-coding RNA, 356 nt
Filed under: Actinidia chinensis (golden kiwifruit)
Lineage: Eukaryota; Viridiplantae; Streptophyta; Magnoliopsida; Ericales; Actinidiaceae
Description: long non-coding RNA (ACHI_LNC004889)
Source: RNAcentral